GCUGGGGGGGUGGUAUCACUGUGCUUUGCUGUACUUUUUGGGAGUAGGUAACCUGCAGAUUUCCUCUCCGCUGUGGCUGUUGCAGCUAGAGCCCACAGAGCCCUCGUUGGAUGAGAACCAGGGCCCAGCCAGCCUUGGCAGAAGUCCCCAGCACCACGCUUGGCUUGCCCUGGCAUGUGCUGGCCUUGGAGACUGUGAGCUCUUGCAAGCUUUAUCCUUCUCUUCUGUGUUUUUUAUUUCAUUCGGUAACAAGAGCCUCAGAUGUCUGAGGCUGGUUGUACCUGGUUGGGGGUGGGUAAAAAUUGGGUGUUCCCCCUAUGACUGAUGUGCGGUUGUGAUCAUAAAACUAAAUAAACUGUGUUAAUACAGGAGGGGAAGGGGGAGGUUGUGCAUCAUUAUAUUACUGCACCAAAGGAGAUUCCUGCUACAUACAGCUUGAUGCUGCCUUGCAAUUGUCAGGUAAGAGGCUUGAAGAGGAAAAGAAAACUUGCAAGAGUGCAAAUGUGACGUUCUCUGCCAUUUCCUGGGCUUGGCUCUUCCUACAUUUGACGGUUGAGUUGAUUAGGCAGAUCAUAAGCCAAAGCUCAGCUUUUUACUAGUAAAGGGAGGAAAAAGCAUCCCUGCCCAAAAGUAGAAACAGGUUGGUCCUGCCCUGCAUGCUUCUCUUGGCUCCCUGGCAUGUUUAAGUCUAUUUAAAACAAAACUAUGGUGGUUGGUUUUAACGUUGCUGAGUGGGAUGUGAGAAGCGAGCACAAGGAGCCAUCUCAGCAGGUCACCCUGGCCUCUCCUUGCUGUUUGCAUUGGUUUGAAAUUUGACAUGCUGAGCUGGAGGGGGAUCUUGGCAGAGCCAAAGAGAGCCUGGAGUGCAUUUUUGAAUGUCCAUGAGGUUGCUCUGCCUCCUUCCCAUCUGUGACAUGUAGCUGUCCUGCACCGUAGGGAUCACGGGGUAACACAUUUCAUCCUCUCUUCGUGACAGCUGCCUUCAGCCCUUCUUUCCGUAAGUUCCCCAAACUGAGCUGUGGUUUUGUUGUUUGUGUCUUGGGUUGUUUUAUUCCCCUUUCAUUUUUAACAGGAGAGGGGAGGAAUCAUUUUGUUUCUGAUCCAUCCAAGUUUUUUUCCCCUCAGCAGGGAAACAACAGUGUGGUGUUAUCCCCUCACAGGCGCUUUGUAGGAUGAACUGAGUGGUUGUUCUCUACUGUCGCAGUGCUUCUGCCUCCUGCUCAUCCGGGUUCCUUCAAUUACACUUCAUUUUUAUUUUUUUUUUUUCAUAACCUCCAGUUAAUUUGACAGUCAGUCCUGACUUCCAGAAUAAACCACAGGCGUUUCAUGGUGUCCCUGGGCUGGUGUUCAGGAACACUCUGGCUGAUGUGACUCAGAUGUGAGUGGAGACAAUCCCUGACCCUUCAGUGAGCUUAAAACCCCAACAUCACGUGUCCAGCUCUUCUUUACCCUCAUCUCCAGGCCAGGUGCUUUGCUGGUCUUUUUAAGUGAGGAGCAGAGGAGCUCUACAGCCUUGUCUUUUUUUUUUUUUUCUUUUUUGCUAUUACAUCAUCCUGCUAGAAGUGCUAAUCGAGUCCUGGAAAACAACCUUGUUUGAACAUGUGUAUGGUGGGAAUCGGACCAGACUGCCCUUGUGGUUUGCAUUUUCAUAUUUCAUGUUACCAGCAUUUUCCUGUGGAUUUCAUUAAGCUGGGUUUGGCAUGCAAUGAAAAGGCAGAGUCUCCUGGCUUGUGCGGUGCCGACCUUAAAGAAAAACAAAACAAAAAAAAAAAAAAAAAACAAAACCAAAACCCACCUUAAAUCCUGGCUUUAGGAACAAAUAGAUAUUUAUAUUCAGUGUCUGGCUAGCAUAUAUAUGUGUGUAAAGCAUGAGGCAUGACUGUUUGUUACCCUGGUGAGUGUGCAGCCCGUGGUUUUUGUGACCGUGGCAGACCUCGGGCACAAGCUGCGAUGUUUGCAGUGCCCCAGCCAUUUUGUUUGGACCCAUCUGCUCAGGAUUUGUCCAGGCUCGUGGGGUUUUUCUCCUUCCUGCAUUAAGUUUUAUAGCAGCUCUCCGUUAGCGGGAAGGCGGAGGCACUGCUGGUGCCCUCGGAGUUGUGGCAGGCUCUGUAUCGUACAUCUAAUAUCGGCCAAAGAGGGAUAUUUUCCAAGUGUUUUACUACUGUGGGUAGGGUUUACUGCUGCUGAGGUUAAAGCUGCCAGGUUGACAAGGUGUGCGCUUGCAUCCUGUUUAAUGCCACAGAAAUUACGCAGCAAGAGGUAAACAGAAAUUAUUUUCCUUUUGCUAGAGUAAACAGCUAAAUGCUUUUUGUUGGCUGGCGCAGGGGAAUCACCCAGCCCUCUGCCCUCAGCUCCUCCUGUACCAUGUUAACACAUCAGCCUGCGUUGUUUGUUCCAGAUCUGGCCCUGUGACCUUGACCUCUUUGCCCCCUGUGCUGGGGGCUCAAGGCCAAGCAUCCUGACAGCUGAGAGCUUUGGGAAGGAGCUGCUCCUUGUGCUGGCCCCGCUGCUGGCAGCUCAUGCAACAUCUGGUUUUGUGGCUGGAGAAAGUUGCUGGGGGCUCGCACAGUAAUAUCCCAUGAGCUUUGGAUUUAAGCAUGGGGAAGAUGCGACUCUGCCCCUGGGGUUGUGUUUCUGUCCUGGUUGUUGACUGCAUGUAAACUCUUCCCCAGGAGCCCAGUGUUGAUGAUACACCUGAAAGAGCAAGUGGGGGGGGGG
Long non-coding RNA from Tyto alba (common barn owl), 2718 nucleotides. RefSeq lists it as uncharacterized. The record is from RefSeq and is a predicted model, not a curated record. The transcript is spliced from 2 exons. Lineage: Eukaryota; Metazoa; Chordata; Aves; Strigiformes; Tytonidae.